RNAcentral lists this ribosomal RNA (508 nucleotides) under uncultured bacterium. RNAcentral describes it as "partial 16S ribosomal RNA". It matches the Rfam family "Bacterial small subunit ribosomal RNA", at positions 28 to 507 of the family's 1533-position model. The record is from RNAcentral.
GACGAACGCUGGCGGCGUGCCUAAUACAUGCGAGUCGAACGCUUCUUUCCUCCCGAGUGCUUGCACUCAAUUGGAAAGAGGAGUGGCGGACGGGUGAGUAACACGUGGGUAACCUACCCAUCAGAGGGGGAUAACACUUGGAAACAGGUGCUAAUACCGCAUAACAGUUUAUGCCGCAUGGCAUAAGAGUGAAAGGCGCUUUCGGGUGUCGUUGAUGGAUGGACCCGCGGUGCAUUAGCUAGUUGGUGAGGUAACGGCUCACCAAGGCCACGAUGCAUAGCCGACCUGAGAGGGUGAUCGGCCACACUGGGACUGAGACACGGCCCAGACUCCUACGGGAGGCAGCAGUAGGGAAUCUUCGGCAAUGGACGAAGGUCUGACCGAGCAACGCCGCGUGAGUGAAGAAGGUUUUCGGAUCGUAAAACUCUGUUGUUAGAGAAGAACAAGGACGUUAGUAACUGAACGUCCCCUGACGGUAUCUAACCAGAAAGCCACGGCUAACUACGUG